GCGCCCAUAGCUUAAUGGAUAGAGCAUCUGACUACGGAUCAGAAGGUUGGGGGUUCGACUCCCUCUGGGCGCGCAA
RNAcentral lists this transfer RNA (76 nucleotides) under Propionibacterium acidifaciens F0233. Its description in RNAcentral is "tRNA-Arg". It matches the Rfam family "tRNA". From Rfam's summary of the family: Transfer RNA (tRNA) molecules are approximately 80 nucleotides in length. Their secondary structure includes four short double-helical elements and three loops (D, anti-codon, and T loops). Lineage: Bacteria; Bacillati; Actinomycetota; Actinomycetes; Propionibacteriales; Propionibacteriaceae. The record is from RNAcentral. RNAcentral also lists the same sequence under 1 other name.